AAGUCGUAACAAGGUUUCCGUAGGUGAACCUGCGGAAGGAUCAUUACUGGGUGCGGAUGGGAAGGGAAGGGAGGAGUGGUGCGCAAGUGCUGCUGUUUUCUUUGCUUUUCGUCCCAAGAAUGGAACCACCACGGCCGCGUGCGGUCGUGGUGGUUCUGUAGGCCCGUGUCUUGUGCAAAGUGUGUGUGUGGUUGUGGUUGGUUGCUUGAUUGCAGUUUGCCCCAGCUCACCUGCUUUUUUUCUUGUUUGGCGGGAGUUGGCAUGUCCGACACAUUUUCCUCCGACCAUCACUCUUUUGCGAUGGAAUGGGGAGAAGCCCGCCAAAGUUUCAACACACCGAAUGACGUUUUCCGACACUUUUGUAAUAACAACAACAUUUAAUACAACUGUUGGCAACGGAUCACUCGGCUCUC
Molecule: unclassified non-coding RNA, 413 nt
Filed under: fungal sp.
Lineage: Eukaryota; Fungi
Description: partial internal transcribed spacer region
Rfam family: Eukaryotic small subunit ribosomal RNA (bases 1-46)
Source: RNAcentral